RNAcentral lists this long non-coding RNA (793 nucleotides) under Oryza brachyantha (malo sina). RNAcentral describes it as "long non-coding RNA (OBRA_LNC002194)". The record is from RNAcentral. Lineage: Eukaryota; Viridiplantae; Streptophyta; Magnoliopsida; Poales; Poaceae.
AGAUCCGCGACCCGCACCGCGCCGUGCGCAAGUGGCUCGGCACGUUCGACACCGCCGAGGACGCCGCGCGCGCGGCCACUGCGUCAAGCUCAACUUCCUCGGCCGCGCAGCGACCGCGCUCGCUCCCAGUCCCGGACAGCCCCCGGGAGAACUGCGGCUCGAAAGAUAGACAGAAUGCAUCGUAAAACAAGUCUAUAGAACACGUAACAGUAAGUUCUUCGCCAAACAAGAAGCAAUAACAGCCUGAGGAUUUGAACAGACACCAGAAAAUUCGGCAGAAGCAUGCUAAACCAUCAUCCCAUCUGGAUCGAUCUCUCAAGAACUCGAAAGUUGAAACAUCCAUCGAUCGCGUAUAUUCUUAACCAAAUUAUUCAGCUCCUACGCCACAGAGUCAGUCACUGCGACGGCCAUCGGUUUACGCACGGCGAACGCCGGAGACGGCGAGAGAGAGGCCACCGAGCAGGAGGACGAAGAGACCAAACGCCAGCGGCGGGCCGACGCCGGCAGCGACCACGCUGACGGCUGAUGAGGCGGCGAGAACGCCCACCACGACAGGAUCAGGGCAGCCGCUGCCACGUCCGCCAGGAGCGUCUCCUGCCUUCUCCGCCAUGGUAGCCUUCUUCUCCGCCUUGCCGUGCUCGAGCAUGUCGCCGGCGCGGAGAUUCGCGAGCUUCACGUCGGUGGCGGCGGCCGCCAUCUGAUUCGACGAAUAAACGCAAGGAGAUGUUAGCGAUUGAGCUCAGAGAAAAUGCGAGGCAGAUGGGGGAACGCAUACGCGCGGGCUUUCUUUUAU